Molecule: long non-coding RNA, 296 nt
Filed under: Brassica napus (rape)
Lineage: Eukaryota; Viridiplantae; Streptophyta; Magnoliopsida; Brassicales; Brassicaceae
Description: long non-coding RNA (BNAP_LNC005947)
Source: RNAcentral
UUGGAGUCUCUCCUGCUGAGGACACGUCAUCAAAUAAGUGAACCACAGCUUGCCACGUGUCCUCCUCACACUACAAAAACUCGAUCUUCGUUUGGGUUGCGGAAGGGCUUUUACACAAGUGAGCUAUCUUAGUAUUGGGCCGGAAAAUCAUCAGACACUUAAGCCCGUUAGACGCCUUCGCUUUGUCGACGUGAAGCCGACUUUAGUUUCUAAGUUUCAUUGUCGUCUCAGAAAGCUGAUUAGGUAUAACAUCAAUGGAGAUUCUCAAAGUUUCAGAGAGAUGAGUCUUCUUCAUU